GCAUUAUACCGCGAAACUGCGAAUGGCUCAUUAUAUAAGUUAUCGUUUAUUUGAUAGCACGUUACUACUUGGAUAACCGUGGUAAUUCUAGAGCUAAUACAUGCUAAAAAUCCCGACUCCGGAAGGGAUGUAUUUAUUAGAUUAAAAGCCAAUGCCCUCUGGGCUCACAGGUGAUUCAUGAUAACUUCUCGAAUCGCAUGGCCUUGCGCCGGCGAUGGUUCAUUCAAAUCUCUUCCCUAUCAACUUUCGAUGCGAAGGUCUUGUCUUCGCAUGGUUACAACGGGUAACGGAGGGUUAGGGCUCGACCCCGGAGAAGGAGCCUGAGAGACGGCUACUACAUCCAAGGAAGGCAGCAGGCGCGCAAAUUACCCAAUCCCGACACGGGGAGGUAGUGACAAAAAAUACUGAUACAGGGCUCUUUUGGGUCUUGUAAUUGGAAUGAGUACAAUUUAAAUCCCUUAACGAGGAACAAUUGGAGGGCAAGUCUGGUGGACGUCCAGUUCCAAGCAUGCUGGCGCCAGCAAGAGCAGGAGGUUGGCACGCCGCGGCCCCCCCCCGGGGUCGUGGCUUGCCAGCUUUCGGACCUGCUAGUCGAGCAUCCGCUCAGGGCGGGAGGAUGCCGGCGAGACAACCUGGAUCGGGGAAGGCUAAGGGGCACCUCGCGCGCCCUAUGCUAAUCCCGAGCAGAGCACCGGGGGAGCGAUCCCCCGCGUGCCUGUGUAGAGCGCGGAAAGGUGUCGGCUGCACUGCAAGACGAAGCGAGACGCAGGCAGCUUAAGGGACGUGCCGGCCCCCUCGAAAGAGGGUCUCUUAUCUGGAGCGCCCGCCACGCAAAGGAUUCGAGACUACCGGUCCAACGCCGGUAGGGAGAAACAUGCUAAGCAUUGAACGCUGCCGGGGACUCCCGGGACAUUUUGCCCGGCGGAACAGCAGAACACGGAGCCAGUUUUUUUAACCUGAUCAUCUGAAGCGGGCCGCCCAGGCGGGCGGGGCCCGCUGUUCCUGGAGUGUCCUGCUGGCGCCGCAAGGCCCCCCCUCCCCGGUGGGGGAGCAGCGUUCAAUGGCGGAAGGCAAAAGUGGCCAGCAGCCGCGGUAAUUCCAGCUCCAAUAGCGUAUAUUAAAGUUGUUGUGGUUAAAAAGCUCGUAGUUGAACCUUGGGCCUGGCUGGCCGGUCCCCCUCACCGGGUGCACUGAUCCAGCCGGGCCUUUCCCUCUGUGGAACCCCAUGGCCUUCGCUGGUCGUGGCGGGGAAACAGGACUUUUACUUUGAAAAAAUUAGAGUGCUCCAGGCAGGCCUAUGCUCGAAUACAUUAGCAUGGAAUAAUAGAAUAGGACGCGUGGUUCUAUUUUGUUGGUUUCUAGGACCGCCGUAAUGAUUAAUAGGGACAGUCGGGGGCAUCAGUAUUCAAUUGUCAGAGGUGAAAUUCUUGGAUCUAUUGAAGACUAACUACUGCGAAAGCAUUUGCCAAGGAUGUUUUCAUUGAUAAGGAACGAAAGUUAGGGGAUCGAAGACGAUCAGAUACCGUCGUAGUCUUAACUAUAAACUAUGCCGACUAGGGAUCGGACGAUGUUAUUCUUUGACUCGUUCGGCACCUUUCGAGAAAUCAAAGUGCU
RNAcentral lists this ribosomal RNA (1614 nucleotides) under Saagaromyces ratnagiriensis. RNAcentral's name for it is "bacterial SSU rRNA". It matches the Rfam family "Eukaryotic small subunit ribosomal RNA", at positions 71 to 1107 of the family's 1831-position model. Lineage: Eukaryota; Fungi; Ascomycota; Sordariomycetes; Microascales; Halosphaeriaceae. The record is from RNAcentral.